This is a long non-coding RNA of Corticium candelabrum, 549 nucleotides long. RefSeq lists it as uncharacterized. The record is from RefSeq and is a predicted model, not a curated record. NCBI's taxonomy places the organism in Eukaryota, Metazoa, Porifera, Homoscleromorpha, Homosclerophorida, Plakinidae. The transcript has 3 exons.
UUGGUAGCGAAUGGACAUGUUACAACCACGAUUUUGACAUAAACGAACUGCUGCCUUUUUGCGCAUCUUUCGAGCAGUAACCUGCACCGUUUAUUGAAAGGGGGCCUCAGUUUUGAAUGUCGUCUGCUGAACGUUGCUCUCUCGGCACAAAUCGACUACAAAUAAAUUGGACGGCAGAUGGAUGACGACGACGUAUUCAUAACUCUGCUGGUUGUCACACAGCUACAGUAUUAUUGAGAAUUGUAGAAAAUCUUUUUCUCCAAUACGACACGAACAUGGACCAGGAGGCAUUAAAAUUGGCUUCAGGAUUUACUGACUGUUGUGACAAAUGCUGCAAAAAAUUCUCUGCCUUUGUGCCCCACCUCCCAAAAUGUUCUAUCACAAGAGGAACACAUCUUGAUACAUAUCCUCCUGAUACAAGCUCUUCUGAAUAUUUUUUCAUUUCUUUUCUUCUCUUGUCGUGGCAGCAAGACCAUUUUCCUUGCUAGCCCUCUUCAUAAUAUCCUGACAGACAGACAGACAGACAGACAGACAGACAGGAAGACAGAC